GAUGAACGCUGGCGGCGUGCCUAAUACAUGCAAGUAGAACGCAGUUGCGAACGGGUGAGUAACGCGUAGGUAACUGCCUGGUAGCGGGGGAUCACUAUUGGAAACGCUAGCUACUACCGCCUACUACCAGAUUGACCUGCGUUGUAUUAGCUAGUUGGUGAGGUAACGGCUCACCAAGGCAACGAUACAUAGCCGACCUGAUGGGGUUAUCGGGCACAAGUGGAAUGGGACACGGCCCAGAACCCUACGGGAGGCAGCAGUAGGGAAUCGUUGGCAAUGGGGGGAACCCUGACCGAUCAACGCCGCGUGAGUGAAGAAGGUUUUCGGAUCGUAAAGCUCUGUUGUUAAGGAAGCGGUACUUAAACAGAAAGGGACGGCUAACUACGUGCCAGCAGCCGCGGUAAUAC
Molecule: ribosomal RNA, 407 nt
Filed under: uncultured bacterium
Lineage: Bacteria
Description: partial 16S ribosomal RNA
Rfam family: Bacterial small subunit ribosomal RNA
Source: RNAcentral